This 208-nucleotide non-coding RNA is filed under the name Mollicutes bacterium. RNAcentral's name for it is "T-box sequence". It matches the Rfam family "T-box leader". From Rfam's summary of the family: Uncharged tRNA acts as the effector for transcription antitermination of genes in the T-box leader family. T-boxes are found upstream of many aminoacyl-tRNA synthetase genes and some amino acid biosynthetic genes usually in Gram-positive bacteria. The anticodon of a specific tRNA base pairs to a specifier sequence within the T-box motif, and the NCCA acceptor tail of the tRNA base pairs to a conserved bulge in the T-box antiterminator hairpin. The record is from RNAcentral. Lineage: Bacteria; Bacillati; Mycoplasmatota; Mollicutes.
UGUAAACCAAUGAUAAAGAAAAGUAGUUAAAAAACUAAUGGAAAGAGAAAGAUACAACUGGUGAAAGUAUCUACAUUAAGAGUUAACGAAGACACUUUUGAGGGCUUUUUUGAAAAUAGUAGAAAAAGACGACUACUCACGUUACGAGUAUGAGGGCCUAGUUGUACUAGGAACUAAGGUGGUACCGCGGAUAUAUUUCGCCCUUAGA